GGUGUUGUGGUAUAGUUGGUUAUCACGUCAGUCUAACACACUGAAGGUCUUCGGUUCGAGUCCGGGCGACGCCA
This 74-nucleotide transfer RNA is filed under the name Ipomoea nil (Japanese morning glory). It matches the Rfam family "tRNA". From Rfam's summary of the family: Transfer RNA (tRNA) molecules are approximately 80 nucleotides in length. Their secondary structure includes four short double-helical elements and three loops (D, anti-codon, and T loops). Lineage: Eukaryota; Viridiplantae; Streptophyta; Magnoliopsida; Solanales; Convolvulaceae. The record is from Rfam by way of RNAcentral.